AUUGAACGCUGGCGGCAUGCCUUACACAUGCAAGUCGAACGGUAACGGGCCUUCGGGUGCCGACGAGUGGCGCACGGGUGAGUAAUACAUCGGAACGUGCCCGAUCGUGGGGGAUAACGAGGCGAAAGCUUUGCUAAUACCGCAUACGAUCUACGGAUGAAAGCAGGGGACCGCAAGGCCUUGCGCGGACGGAGCGGCCGAUGGUAGAUUAGGUAGUUGGUGGGAUAAAAGCUUACCAAGCCGACGAUCUGUAGCUGGUCUGAGAGGAUGAUCAGCCACACUGGGACUGAGACACGGCCCAGACUCCUACGGGAGGCAGCAGUGGGGAAUUUUGGACAAAGGGCGCAAGCCUGAUCCAGCCAUGCCGCGUGCAGGAUGAAGGCCUUCGGGUUGUAAACUGCUUUUGUACGGAACGAAAAGCCUUCUUUUAAUACAGGAGGGUCAUGACGGUACCGUAAGAAUAAGCACCGGCUAACUACGUG
This 482-nucleotide ribosomal RNA is filed under the name uncultured bacterium. RNAcentral describes it as "partial 16S ribosomal RNA". It matches the Rfam family "Bacterial small subunit ribosomal RNA", at positions 30 to 507 of the family's 1533-position model. The record is from RNAcentral.